UGUUCUGUGGCUUAGUUGGUUAAAGCGCCGGACUGGCGAUACGGAGUCGUGGGUUCGAAUCCCACCAAAACAA
Molecule: non-coding RNA, 73 nt
Organism: Aedes albopictus (Asian tiger mosquito)
Lineage: Eukaryota; Metazoa; Arthropoda; Insecta; Diptera; Culicidae
Source: Rfam